This 45-nucleotide non-coding RNA is filed under the name Schistosoma mansoni. Lineage: Eukaryota; Metazoa; Platyhelminthes; Trematoda; Strigeidida; Schistosomatidae. The record is from RNAcentral.
ACCUUGCUGAUGAGUGCCAAGUAGCACGAAACUCGGGUCCAUGGU